GACGAACGCUGGCGGCGUGCUUAACACAUGCAAGUCGAACGGAAAGGCCCUGCUUUUGUGGGGUGCUCGAGUGGCGAACGGGUGAGUAACACGUGAGUAACCUGCCCUUGACUUUGGGAUAACUUCAGGAAACUGGGGCUAAUACCGGAUAGGAGCUCCUGCUGCAUGGUGGGGGUUGGAAAGUUUCGGCGGUUGGGGAUGGACUCGCGGCUUAUCAGCUUGUUGGUGGGGUAGUGGCUUACCAAGGCUUUGACGGGUAGCCGGCCUGAGAGGGUGACCGGCAACAUUGGGACUGAGAUACGGCCCAGACGCAUACGGGAGGAAGCAGUGGGGAAUAUUGCAAAAUGGGCGGAAGACUGAUGAAGCAACGCAGCGUGCGGGAUGACGGCCUUCGGGUUGUAAACCGAUUUCGCCUGUGACGAAGCGUGAGUGACGGUAAUGGGUAAAGAAGCACCGGCUAACUACGUG
Molecule: ribosomal RNA, 468 nt
Filed under: uncultured bacterium
Lineage: Bacteria
Description: partial 16S ribosomal RNA
Rfam family: Bacterial small subunit ribosomal RNA
Source: RNAcentral